Molecule: ribosomal RNA, 509 nt
Filed under: fungal endophyte
Lineage: Eukaryota; Fungi
Description: eukaryotic LSU rRNA
Rfam family: 5.8S ribosomal RNA (bases 187-340)
Source: RNAcentral
GGGAUCAUUGCUGGAACGCGCCCCGGCGCACCCAGAAACCCUUUGUGAACUUAUACCUUAUUGUUGCCUCGGCGAAGGCCGGCCUCUCUUUCUGAGGCCCCCCGGAGACGGGGAGCAGCCCGCCGGCGGCCAACCAAACUCUUGUUUCUUAGUGAAUCUCUGAGUAAAAAAACAUAAAUGAAUCAAAACUUUCAACAACGGAUCUCUUGGUUCUGGCAUCGAUGAAGAACGCAGCGAAAUGCGAUAAGUAAUGUGAAUUGCAGAAUUCAGUGAAUCAUCGAAUCUUUGAACGCACAUUGCGCCCUCUGGUAUUCCGGAGGGCAUGCCUGUUCGAGCGUCAUUUCAACCCUCAAGCCUGGCUUGGUGUUGGGGCACUGCUUCGAGAGAAGCAGGCCCUGAAAUCUAGUGGNGAGCUCGCUAGGACCCCGAGCGUAGNANUUNUAUCUCGUUCUGGAAGGCCCUGGCGGUGCCCUGCCGUUAAACCCCCAACUUCUGAAAUUUUGACCUCG